Molecule: ribosomal RNA, 160 nt
Filed under: Odontites viscosus
Lineage: Eukaryota; Viridiplantae; Streptophyta; Magnoliopsida; Lamiales; Orobanchaceae
Also listed under: 4 other names
Description: 5.8S ribosomal RNA
Rfam family: 5.8S ribosomal RNA
About the family: 5.8S ribosomal RNA (5.8S rRNA) is a component of the large subunit of the eukaryotic ribosome.
Source: RNAcentral
CGACUCUCGGCAACGGAUAUCUCGGCUCUCGCAUCGAUGAAGAACGUAGCGAAAUGCGAUACUUGGUGUGAAUUGCAGAAUCCCGUGAACCAUCGAGUCUUUGAACGCAAGUUGCGCCCGAAACCAUUUGGUUGAGGGCACGUCUGCCUGGGCGUCACGC